Molecule: ribosomal RNA, 377 nt
Filed under: Ruminiclostridium papyrosolvens DSM 2782
Lineage: Bacteria; Bacillati; Bacillota; Clostridia; Eubacteriales; Oscillospiraceae
Description: bacterial LSU rRNA
Rfam family: Bacterial large subunit ribosomal RNA
Source: RNAcentral
GAGCUGUAGCAGGUUCCAAGGGUUUGGCUGUUCGCCAAUUAAAGCGGUACGCGAGCUGGGUUCAGAACGUCGUGAGACAGUUCGGUCCCUAUCUGUCGCGGGCGCAGGAUAUUUGAGAGGAUCUGUCCUUAGUACGAGAGGACCGGGAUGGACGAACCUCUAGUGCACCAGUUGUCAUACCAAUGGCACAGCUGGGUAGCCAAGUUCGGCAGGGAUAAACGCUGAAGGCAUCUAAGCGUGAAACCCACCUCAAGAUGAGAUAUCCCACUAGCAAUAGGUAAGACCCCAUGUAGACUACAUGGUUGAUAGGUCAGGAGUGUAAGCAUAGUAAUGUGUUAAGCUGACUGAUACUAAUAGGUCGAGGGUUUGACCCAAAG